RNAcentral lists this ribosomal RNA (253 nucleotides) under uncultured bacterium. Its description in RNAcentral is "partial 16S ribosomal RNA". It matches the Rfam family "Bacterial small subunit ribosomal RNA", at positions 524 to 776 of the family's 1533-position model. The record is from RNAcentral.
UACGUAGGUGGCAAGCGCUAUCCGGAAUUAUUGGGCGUAAAGAGCGCGCAGGUGGUUAAUUAAGUCUGAUGUGAAAGCCCACGGCUUAACCGUGGAGGGUCAUUGGAAACUGGUUGACUUGAGUGCAGAAGAGGGAAGUGGAAUUCCAUGUGUAGCGGUGAAAUGCGUAGAGAUAUGGAGGAACACCAGUGGCGAAGGCGGCUUCCUGGUCUGCAACUGACACUGAGGCGCGAAAGCGUGGGGAGCAAACAGG